GCAACAAAACCUAUCCCUAAAAUUAAGAUAACACAGCGUAUUAAGUUAUAUAGUCAUACUAUACACUCCAAAUGCAUACUUCUUAAAGUUCCUAUAAGUGUUGGGAGGCAUUCCAUGCGUCAAACACAAGUUUGUAAGGUAUAGGGACAAUGUCCUCCAUUGGUCGAAUGCUUGAUGGCUUUUGCAGAGAGAGGCUUAUCUCUAAUAUUAUGAACAACUUCAGCUUUGUUUCUGAAGUCCGAGAAGAGAAGCUGUGAUAUUUUAACAAAGGCUUCUUUCCUGAAUUUCCGUCUUUUGGACAGGCUUUUCAUUGCAAACCAUCUCGUGAGCGGCCACAUAACUCACAGCAGCAGUUGAAUUUGGAUCCAAUUAUUGAAAUCAUAUCGGCUUUCCACUGCGGGUCCCAAACCUCUUCUUUGUUCAUCUCCAGAUGGAUGCGUGUUUUUUUUUUUCUGGAAAUGUCUUUCAACGAUACAUCUUUCUUUGUGUGUGUGUGUGUGUGUGUGUGUGUGUGUGUGUGUGUGUGUGUGUGUGUGUGUGUGUGUGUGUGUGUGUGUGUGUGUGUGUGUGUGUGUGUGUGUGUGUGUGUGUGUGUGUGUGUGUGUGUGUGUGUGUGUGUGCCCUCGGUCUCUGCCACCUUUCCAAAUUUCUUUUUUGUGUCUUUAAUUUCACCCAUCAUACGGAUGUGCUUCUGCCGGCUGGCAUCGAUACUAAAAGACCAGGAGAGGCUUCCAACGAGCCGUAUCCCGAGGCAUAGCCCAUUGCAUUGUGGGCAGCCCGCACGGCAACGCAGGAUCACACAAACAUUGCAGUCAACAUUCGUAUCUGUGUGUUCGUGUUUUGAUGCCUGCUAUGUCAAACAUGUGGAAAGGCUUUGGCCUGACCUUCCACCCGUAUCAUUUGAUGAAUGGUCACAAUGGUAAAUGUUGGUGGAUCAAAGGUGCAGACUAUAAUUUGAAAAAGUUUCGAUGAAAACAAGUAAUUGUUGACAAUUAUAGAACCUGCUGUUCUAGUCAGAACAAAUGGCUUCUGAACAUGGGUCUUAAGAGCGGCGCCAUGUUUAGAUCCGUCUGGAUUGGCCCAUCAGAUUUAGAUCCACAAUCUUAUGCCCGCUAUUGAUGAGUUGGUGACGUCUUUACAAAACCGUUUUCAGAGUAAACUCGCUGUUAGAUUGAAUAGUUAAUGCGAAUAGCUUUAAUCACCCAUUGUCCUGACAAACAGACAAUGACAGUCACGUCACUGAAGGGUGACUGGUUUGUCUUGGCUUUGUGCCAGGAGUCAGUGGCUUGAAGAAGAGAAGGAACCACAUGUAGCUUAGGACACAGCACUUUGGUGACACGACUGACGUUAAUGGAUGGAGCCUUUGAGAUGCUCACAGUCCCAAGGUGACGCUUGAUUAAGUAAAUAUGUCGUUAGAGACUCGCUGUUCAAAGUGGAUUCAGAUACAUGAAGCAUAUAACCAGUUUUUUCAACGAAAGAUCACCUCCCUGACGUGAAGCGUCUUUACAUUUAUCUCCCAGGCUAAUAAUAAUGAGUGAAAAAAUGUAGACACGUACACAGAAAGGGGGCACACACGGUUAGAGCCAGAAUAAUACAUAGUUGACAGAACUUACAGAGGCAGUCAUCCUUGACAGUAAGAAGAUGUGUGAGGGCCAUGCAUGCAGAGCGUAUGGUACAGAAAAGGACCUCGAUGAGUUACAUGGUGAUGCUUGGCUCAGGCAUCCCACAGGCAUCCUCACCUCUUUUUAGAUUAGAUAUUAUCCAACUUUAUUGACAUUGCACAAGUAAGGACAACCAGUACAACGAAAUGCAGUUUACAUCUAACCAGUAGUGCAACCCUUAAAAAGUUAUUUUCCUUAUAGCACUGCUUAAAUUAAAAAAUAAAUUAGACACAGAUUGCAUGUCCAUUAUUAAAGUGCAUAGGAUUCUGAUGAAUCAGACAGACCAUAGUCCAUAGAUAGAGUGCAGUAUGAGGAUAUAAAGUGAAUUGUGGAAGUGCAUUAAUAAAGUGUCUGCUGCUCUAUCGUGCUAUAAGGCUCUGAUAAUGCACUUGACAGAGUCAAACCUUCUGUGGGACCCUCCGUUAACGUUGUCCGUUCCA
Molecule: long non-coding RNA, 2101 nt
Organism: Gadus macrocephalus (Pacific cod)
Lineage: Eukaryota; Metazoa; Chordata; Actinopteri; Gadiformes; Gadidae
Exons: 3
Source: RefSeq, a predicted model, not a curated record